AUGAACGAAUACUUGAUUUGCCUAAUCGCUUGGCGCGUGCUGGCCAGCGACUUGCUGGACUAUGUCCGCUUUCGCGUGGUCUUCCCCCAUUGGCAGUCUAGCACGGUCUGCCCACACAACCGCGGCGUCAUCGAUCCACGCUUCCACCCGUGAUGCUGGAUGAUGCUACCGGAGGGCCACAGCCUGUACCCGUCCCACGCCAGCCUCCAGGGCUACAUCCGCUUCUUCAACCUCGACACAGGGAAAUUCGUCCGCGUCAAGCUCCCGGUUUUCAACGACCACUGUGUCCUCAACUCGGCCGAAGGUCUGCUAGUCAUGCACCGGGAUGAAAACACAGCCAUCCGACUGUUCCACCCAUUCACUGGCGAUGUCGUCGACCUCCCACCACUCAUGACCCUUGUGCCGCACAUUAACCCUGACCUACCUGGGGCUUUUCACCCGACGCAGAAGUUCCACUACCUCAGGGGAGUGUGCGCUGCCUUCAGUGUCAGCGCUACCGGAGUCAUUACCACCAUGCUCGCGCUUCAUCGGAUGAGCUGUGUAGCCUUCGCUACCCCCCGUGAUCAGCGAUGGUGUAAGUGCAUCUAG
RNAcentral lists this ribosomal RNA (588 nucleotides) under Triticum aestivum (bread wheat). RNAcentral describes it as "partial small subunit ribosomal RNA". Lineage: Eukaryota; Viridiplantae; Streptophyta; Magnoliopsida; Poales; Poaceae. The record is from RNAcentral.